This 159-nucleotide microRNA precursor is filed under the name Pelobates cultripes (western spadefoot toad). The record is from RNAcentral. Lineage: Eukaryota; Metazoa; Chordata; Amphibia; Anura; Pelobatidae.
GCUGACACAUCCCGGCCAAUCUCCAGCAGACCCUCCCUCCCAGACCCUCCCACCUCCUGGACAGCAUCCAUGUUGAAGCUGCCUUCAACAUGGAUGCUGUCCAGGAAGUAGGAGGGUCUGGGAGGGAGGGUCUGCUGGAGAUUGGCUGGGAUGUGUCAG